AGAAUCAACGCUGGCGGCGUGCCUAACACAUGCAAGUCGAACGAGAAAGUGGAGCAAUCCAUGAGUAAAGUGGCGCACGGGUGAGUAACACGUGACUAACCUACCCUUGAGUGGGGAAUAACCUCGGGAAACCGGGGCUAAUACCGCAUAACACCUACGGGUCAAAGGAGCAAUUCGCUUAAGGAGGGGUCGCGGCAGAUUAGUUAGUUGGCGGGGUAAUGGCCCACCAAGACGGUGAUCUGUAUCCGGCCUGAGAGGGCGCACGGACACACUGGAACUGAAACACGGUCCAGACUCCUACGGGAGGCAGCAGUGGGGAAUUUGCGCAAUGGGGGAAACCCUGACGCAGCAACGCCGCGUGGAGGAUGAAGUCCCUUGGGACGUAAACUCCUUUCGAUCGGGACGAUUAUGACGGUACCGGAAGAAGAAGCCCGGCUAACUUCGUGCCAGCAGCCGC
RNAcentral lists this ribosomal RNA (457 nucleotides) under uncultured bacterium. RNAcentral's name for it is "SSU rRNA". It matches the Rfam family "Bacterial small subunit ribosomal RNA", at positions 26 to 518 of the family's 1533-position model. The record is from RNAcentral.